CUGACACCUCUGAACAUGGACGCCUUCUGUUUAUGCACAGAACAAAUACUGCUUAGGCAGCAGCAUUACACAUGCUGCCCUGCCAGUGCCCUCAGCCCUGACCUGGAGGCCUGCCUCUAGGACUGAAAGAGGAGUUCUAUCUCCAUGGCCUAUUUAAUUCUUGGCUUCU
Molecule: small RNA, 169 nt
Filed under: Chelonoidis abingdonii (Abingdon island giant tortoise)
Lineage: Eukaryota; Metazoa; Chordata; Testudines; Testudinidae
Description: TUC338 (ENSCABG00000016969.1)
Source: RNAcentral